This is a long non-coding RNA of Empidonax traillii (willow flycatcher), 1310 nucleotides long. RefSeq lists it as uncharacterized. The record is from RefSeq and is a predicted model, not a curated record. NCBI's taxonomy places the organism in Eukaryota, Metazoa, Chordata, Aves, Passeriformes, Tyrannidae. The transcript is spliced from 2 exons.
CCUUGGGGUCUCAGUGUCUCCGGUGUCGCUCCUGGUCCAGCGCGCCGCUCCCCGCUGCGAGGUGUUGCCUUGGGCAGGGAGCUGCGCUGGGCUGUUCGCUCCCCCGGCAGCCCCAGCCCUGAAGGAAGCACCUCGCGUCCGAGAGAAGUAAGUGCGGCUGGGGGUGAGACGUGCUUUUUGGGGAGGACAGAGUGGCCAUCCUCUUCAACAGGCCUCGUUACUUCAUCUUCCCUCACGAGUAUUGCUGGAGACUUGGAAAAAGAUGGGUCGCAUCAGCACCAUUUUAACAUCUCGACCCUUGCUGGAAGUCCCAGAAGAGGCAAGGAAGCAAGUCAUCCUUUUCCCUCUCUUCACUUUGGUAGCGUAUUUGUGAGAGUAACAUGUGAAUGGCUUUGAAUUCUAUAAAAGUUUAAUGGAACACAAGUGUGGAAAACUGGCAAAAUUCCAGUGGAGGUGCAUCAUCUGGUUAAGGGUGACCACUAAAUAGAGGAAUGCUGCUGAAAAGCCACCAGGAAAAAAACACUUGCUUCAUGACCCCACAAGGCCUCCUUAUGGCCUGCUAUGAACUGCCUUCCUCUGUUAUCUCUGUUUUUUGGCACUGUUGGGUCAACUGAUUUAAAUCACUAAAAUAGCAGAAAACAGAUUACUAAAAUGGCUGAAUAACACUUCCAGUUUAGCGAGUUGAAUCAUCUUGUGGAAAGUGUUUGACAAGUGGCAGAGCCAGAACAAAGGAUGAGGAAGAGAACUGACCAGAGAUUAAGGAGUGAAGGGGGUUGAAUUUGGAAAUCAGUGGGAUGGGAAUGCCUUUCCAUUGACAGUAAACAGAUAAAUCAGCUCAGCUGCGGGUCAGGUUGUGGUUCUAAGAAAAAGGAAAAAACAAACAACCCCAACAGAUUCUAGAAUACAUUUCCUAACAGAAGCAACUUCUAAGAGUCCAAACUUUAGCAACCUACUUCAAUCAAAAGGGAUAACACUGGUUUUAACAUAAUUUGAGAAAUUGAUUGCUGUUUAUUGUGGUGUGUGGUCUUCAGAUUUUUAUGAAACAUUGCUAAAAAGUGGAAAAUCACUAAAAUUCAAUGAAUUACUUUUUAACAUGUCACUUGCAGAGUCACUGAAAAUUACAAGAGUUUUAAACUACUUCAUGUUGCUUGUUAUUUUGAAUUAUCUUCCUUAUCAUAUUGUUCAUGUGUGAAGUGUAUUCAAUUGAGAUAUGUAAAUGAUAUUCCCCUAGGACUUUUUUGGAACUACAGUGUGUAUGACGGAAUUAAUAUUUAAAUAUGUGAAAGUAGUAGAAAAUAAAAGGCUACAAG